RNAcentral lists this ribosomal RNA (283 nucleotides) under uncultured bacterium. RNAcentral's name for it is "partial 16S ribosomal RNA". It matches the Rfam family "Bacterial small subunit ribosomal RNA", at positions 28 to 303 of the family's 1533-position model. The record is from RNAcentral.
GACGAACGCUGGCGGCGUGCCUAACACAUGCAAGUCGAACGAGAUCCAUGGGAGCUUGCUCCCGGAAGAUCUAGUGGCGAAACGGGUGAGUAACACGUGAGAAACCUGCCCUGGAGUGGGGAAUAACUCGGGGAAACUCGAGCUAAUACCGCAUACCCUCGGAUGGUCGCAUGGCCGACCGAGGAAAAGAUUUAUCGCUCUAGGAGGGUCUCGCGGCCUAUCAGCUAGUUGGUGGGGUAACGGCCUACCAAGGCAACGACGGGUAGCUGGUUUGAGAGAACGA